This 497-nucleotide ribosomal RNA is filed under the name uncultured bacterium. RNAcentral describes it as "partial 16S ribosomal RNA". It matches the Rfam family "Bacterial small subunit ribosomal RNA", at positions 28 to 507 of the family's 1533-position model. The record is from RNAcentral.
GAUGAACGCUGGCGGCGUGCCUAAUACAUGCAAGUCGAGCGAACAGACGAGAAGCUUGCUUCUCUGAUGUUAGCGGCGGACGGGUGAGUAACACGUGGAUAACCUACCUAUAAGACUGGGAUAACUUCGGGAAACCGGAGCUAAUACCGGAUAAUAUUUUGAACCGCAUGGUUCAAUAGUGAAAGACGGUUUUGCUGUCACUUAUAGAUGGAUCCGCGCUGCAUUAGCUAGUUGGUAAGGUAACGGCUUACCAAGGCAACGAUGCAUAGCCGACCUGAGAGGGUGAUCGGCCACACUGGAACUGAGACACGGUCCAGACUCCUACGGGAGGCAGCAGUAGGGAAUCUUCCGCAAUGGGCGAAAGCCUGACGGAGCAACGCCGCGUGAGUGAUGAAGGUCUUCGGAUCGUAAAACUCUGUUAUUAGGGAAGAACAUAUGUGUAAGUAACUAUGCACAUCUUGACGGUACCUAAUCAGAAAGCCACGGCUAACUACGUG